UACGGAGGAUCCAAGCGUUAUCCGGAUUUAUUGGGUUUAAAGGGUGCGUAGGCGGUUUAUUAAGUCAGUGGUGAAAGCCCGGAGCUCAACUUCGGAACUGCCAUUGAUACUGAUAGACUUGAGUACAGAUGAAGUGGGCGGAAUGUGACAAGUAGCGGUGAAAUGCUUAGAUAUGUCACAGAACACCGAUUGCGAAGGCAGCUUACUACACGAUCAUUGACGCUGAGGCACGAAAGCGUGGGGAGCAAACAGG
Molecule: ribosomal RNA, 253 nt
Filed under: uncultured bacterium
Lineage: Bacteria
Description: partial 16S ribosomal RNA
Rfam family: Bacterial small subunit ribosomal RNA
Source: RNAcentral